RNAcentral lists this ribosomal RNA (482 nucleotides) under Helle longirostris. RNAcentral describes it as "eukaryotic LSU rRNA". It matches the Rfam family "Eukaryotic large subunit ribosomal RNA", at positions 1913 to 2319 of the family's 3401-position model. Lineage: Eukaryota; Metazoa; Arthropoda; Insecta; Diptera; Acroceridae. The record is from RNAcentral.
CAUGUCGGCUCUUCACGUAACUUCGGGAUAAGGAUUGGCUCUGAAGAUUGAGAUAGUCGGGCUUGAUUGGGAAGCAAUAAUAUGGUUUAUGUACUCGUUCUGGGUAAAUUAGAAUGAAGUUUAUAUUUUAUAGACGGAAUUUGUUCCCCGGAUAGUAGUUUACGUAACCAAUUGCGGAACUUUCUUGCUAAUAAUAUAUUAUUAAGAAGAGUUUUAUAUUCUUAUUAUUAUAUAUUUAUAACGGCUAUCAAUUAACAAUCAAUUCAAAACUGGCACGGACUUGGGGAAUCCGACUGUCUAAUUAAAACAAAGCAUUGUGAUGGGCCCUAACGGGGUGUUGACACAAUGUGAUUUCUGCCCAGUGCGUCUGAACUGUCAACAGUGAAGAAAGUCACAGUAAGUCGCGGGUAAACGGCGGUGAGUAACCAUGACUCUCUUAAGGUAGCCAAAUGCCUCGUCAUUUAAUUAGUAACGCGCAUGAG